UAUUAAAGGUCCAACCUGCCCAGUGAAUAAUUUUCAACGGCCGCGGUAUCCUAACCACGCAAAGGUAGCAUAAUCACUUGUUUCUUAAAUAGAGACUUGUAUGAACGGUUAAAUGAGGGCCUAACUGUCUCCUGCAGCCAAACAAUGAAAUUGAUCUUACAGUACAAACGCUGUAAUACAACUAUAAGACGAGAAGACCCUGUGGAGCUUUAAAUUUAUAUAUUAACCAGAUACCAACCGUAUACAACAUAAUGUAAAUUUUAAGUUGGGGUGACUGUGGAGUAAAAACAAACCUCCAUAUUAUAACGGCUAAACCCCGUAACACCAGGCUAACAAGCCUAACCAAAACAUUUUGACCCAGUCAAACUGAAUACUGAACCAAGUUACCCCAGGGAUAACAGCGCUAUCCCCUUAAAGAGUUCACAUCGCCAAGGGGGUUUACGACCUCGAUGUUGGAUCAGGACUUCCCAGUGGUGUAGCCGCUACUAAAGGUUCGUUUGUUCAACGAA
RNAcentral lists this ribosomal RNA (509 nucleotides) under Phelsuma parkeri. RNAcentral describes it as "partial 16S ribosomal RNA". It matches the Rfam family "Bacterial large subunit ribosomal RNA", at positions 1844 to 2588 of the family's 2925-position model. Lineage: Eukaryota; Metazoa; Chordata; Lepidosauria; Squamata; Gekkonidae. The record is from RNAcentral.